RNAcentral lists this transfer RNA (72 nucleotides) under Marmota marmota marmota (Alpine marmot). It matches the Rfam family "tRNA". Rfam says of the family: Transfer RNA (tRNA) molecules are approximately 80 nucleotides in length. The record is from Rfam by way of RNAcentral. Lineage: Eukaryota; Metazoa; Chordata; Mammalia; Rodentia; Sciuridae. RNAcentral also lists the same sequence under 1 other name.
UGGGGUGUGGCUCAGCGGUAGAGCGCUUGCCUAGCAUGCAUGAGGCACUGGGUUCGAUCCUCAGCACCACAU